Molecule: long non-coding RNA, 1097 nt
Organism: Amblyraja radiata (thorny skate)
Lineage: Eukaryota; Metazoa; Chordata; Chondrichthyes; Rajiformes; Rajidae
Exons: 3
Source: RefSeq, a predicted model, not a curated record
GCCGCCCAGUCUGGAUGUAGUGCGUUCAUAACCCGGACGCGAACAGCACUGUCAUCUUUCCCCGGGCCGUCUACCAGCAAGAUUAAUGGUGAUCUUUUCUGCUCUGAUUCUAUGGAUUCUGAAGUGCCCGAUGAGGCCACAUAGGAACCAUAAACUCUUCCAUGAAUGGGUCUGCCUGAAAUUUGUUGGUCUUCCAGUGGAAGGAGAUGUCCGUAGGCAAAUAUCGCCAAGAGCACUUUAUGGUGCGGGAAUGCCAUCCUCCUUUAUGGAGGAUGGCUGAAGCUCGGUGUGGCCACCGCAAAGACUCUGUGGGGAGGCACCACAGUCUGGAUCCUUCUGUCACUGGACACAGUGUAACAACCUCGCAAAGGCUGCAUGAAUGUAGUGGUUAAAGUGGAAAUGUGAGUGGCAUUGACUCAUCGUAAGUGAAUGCAUUGAAUUGUUUCGCAGAAUGCAUGAAGAUAAUUACCUGUCCCAGUUAUACACGUAAUGAAUAAAGUGCAUUUGGGGGAAUGAAAAUCUUCACUAUGGCAUUUAUAGCUACAAAGAAAUGAAUGUAAAGGUCAUAUUGAUUAAUGGGUACAGUGUGCAGAGCACUGCAUAAUGUGUCAUGCCCUUGGGAGAUCAGAUACAUACCAUCUCUCGGGGAUACAAUUCCAUUAUCCCAAUCACUUCUUCCUUAUCUCCCUUUACACCUGCCAAUGUCAGCUCUCUCACAGAUUCCUAUCAACUCCCUUGUGUUUCUUUGGUGCUAUUAGCCACUCUGAGGGGUGACUUACAGUAGCCAAACUGGUAUAUUGGGGGAAACCGGAACAUCCAAGAGAAACAGGAAGACACUGGGAGAACGUGCAAACUCCACAUGGACAUUGUCUGCUGCCAGGAUCAAACCCAGGUCUUUAGAGUGACACUAUGACCCCAAACCUUGCUCCACUGUUGUAGUGUAUAUAAUGCUAACUGUAUCUUUAACAAGUGUGUACCAAAUGGGGUUAUUUGUGUCAUGUUAAAUAUUCAUUAUCUUAUCAGUCUUGUGAAUAUGUGUGCGGGUAUGCGCAGUGUACUUUUGUAAAAUAAAGGAAACCCACACUGGCAACAGUUUG